Long non-coding RNA from Suricata suricatta (meerkat), 387 nucleotides. RefSeq lists it as uncharacterized. NCBI's taxonomy places the organism in Eukaryota, Metazoa, Chordata, Mammalia, Carnivora, Herpestidae. The transcript has 2 exons. The record is from RefSeq and is a predicted model, not a curated record.
CUGGCUCUUUAUGGAGCAACAUCUAGGAUUGUCCCCUUGGAGGUGUGAUCAGCUCUCCAGGCUGCCCGUGUGGACAGCACCUACGAAGACCCCAGGCGCAUAGGUGUGUCUACACCACGGGAAGAACUCAUGUGUCUCUUGUCUCCCAAUAUGUCCCCCAAAGGAGACCAGCUGGUGUGGAAAGAGGCGCUUCUGGAGGCUGAUACCAGGCACACAGGCCAAGAGGCGCUUCAAGUCCUCGCCCUCAUCUAUGUGGAUCCUACUCAGGAGUUUACUCAAGGGGAGCAAGUCCUUGCUGGGAAAACAUCUUGAUAUUCAUCCAUUGCCAGAUGGUUAUUUUGAAAUGUGUGAUUUUGUUAUUCCUUAUUAUAGAUCAUGUUAACGAUA